Molecule: long non-coding RNA, 535 nt
Filed under: Bos taurus (domestic cattle)
Lineage: Eukaryota; Metazoa; Chordata; Mammalia; Artiodactyla; Bovidae
Description: long non-coding RNA NONBTAT002670
Source: RNAcentral
UGACAGUGAAUUUUUGGAAGUGGAUUUACCUUGGUUUACUUACAACUCCCAUAUUAUCGGGCAUUUCGAGUUAUAAAUAACACACUGAUAAAUACCUGAGCAUACAUUGCAUUUUGUAUAUAGCUACAUACUGAACAUGACUCAAUUCUGAUACAGAUAUCUAAGUUACACAAGGUUGGAAUACUAUACCUACUUGUAAUACUACUUGAUCUGGCUUACAGAAAAGGUCCAGACAUUUCAAUUUAAAGAUGGCAGUAGGUCUCAUAAGCCAUCUUCAUUUCACCAGGGGCAUGUCCCUACUGUGUAACUCUGAUUUCAGGCAGGAAGAAAACAAGCAGGGUGAUCUUUAGGCAGUAGGGGGAAGGGGUAUGUGACCCACAUGUGAUUUGUGACAAAAAGAUAAAAAGCAAGUAGAAGUAAGUAAAUUUAGAUAAUUUCUAAUUAUCACUGCAGAGAUUAAAAGGUGUGGAGACAUGAAUGUUUUAUUUCUGUGAACAGCUUGUUCAGUUGUUCUUUUUAUGUUCAGUCAAAUUGC